Molecule: non-coding RNA, 29 nt
Filed under: Rattus norvegicus (Norway rat)
Lineage: Eukaryota; Metazoa; Chordata; Mammalia; Rodentia; Muridae
Source: RNAcentral
GCUUCUCAUGGGGGAAAUGUCUCAAAUAC